Molecule: ribosomal RNA, 443 nt
Filed under: uncultured bacterium
Lineage: Bacteria
Description: bacterial SSU rRNA
Rfam family: Bacterial small subunit ribosomal RNA
Source: RNAcentral
ACUCCUACGGGAGGCAGCAGUGGGGAAUAUUGCACAAUGGGGGAAACCCUGAUGCAGCGACGCCGCGUGGAGGAUGACGGCCUUCGGGUUGUAAACUCCUUUUGUCAGGGACAAUGGUGAUGGUACCUGACGAAUAAGCCACGGCUAACUCUGUGCCAGCAGCCGCGGUAAGACAGAGGUGGCGAGCGUUGUUCGGAAUUACUGGGCUUAAAGGGCGCGUAGGCGGUGGUGUAAGUCUGGGGUGGAAUGCUACAGCUCAACUGUAGAGCUGCCUUGGAAACUGCAUUACUUGAGUCGGUGAGGGGAAGGCGGAAUUCCUGGUGUAGCGGUGAAAUGCGUAGAUAUCAGGAGGAAGGUCUGUGGCGAAGGCGGCCUUCUGGCACUUGACUGACGCUGAGGCGCGAAAGCGUGGGGAGCAAACAGGAUUAGAUACCCUGGUAGUC